UACAGAGGGGGCGAGCGUUGUUCGGAAUUACUGGGCGUAAAGGGCGCGUAGGCGGCCAACUAAGUCAGACGUGAAAUCCCAUGGCUCAACCAUGGAACUGCGUCUGAUACUGGAUGGCUUGAAUCCGGGAGAGGGAUGUGGAAUUCCAGGUGUAGCGGUGAAAUGCGUAGAUAUCUGGAGGAACACCGGUGGCGAAGGCGGGUCUCUGGGCCGAUACUGACGCUGAGGAGCGAAAGCGUGGGGAGCGAACAGG
RNAcentral lists this ribosomal RNA (253 nucleotides) under uncultured bacterium. RNAcentral's name for it is "partial 16S ribosomal RNA". It matches the Rfam family "Bacterial small subunit ribosomal RNA", at positions 524 to 776 of the family's 1533-position model. The record is from RNAcentral.